RNAcentral lists this ribosomal RNA (253 nucleotides) under uncultured bacterium. Its description in RNAcentral is "partial 16S ribosomal RNA". It matches the Rfam family "Bacterial small subunit ribosomal RNA", at positions 524 to 776 of the family's 1533-position model. The record is from RNAcentral.
UACGUAGGGGGCAAGCGUUGUCCGGAAUCAUUGGGCGUAAAGAGCGUGUAGGCGGCCAGGUAGGUCUGCUGUGAAAACUCGAGGCUCAACCUCGAGACGUCGGCGGAAACCAUCUGGCUAGAGUCCGGAAGAGGAGAGUGGAAUUCCUGGUGUAGCGGUGAAAUGCGUAGAGAUCGGGAGGAACAUCCGUGGCGAAGGCGACUACCUGGACCAGCACUGACACUGAGGCACGAAAGCGUGGGGAGCAAGCAGG